UUAGAGUUUGAUCCUGGCUCAGGAUGAACGCUAGCGGCAGGCUUAACACAUGCAAGUCGAGGGGCAGCGCUGGGUGGCAACACCCUGGCGGCGACCGGCGGAAGGGUGCGUAACACGUGAGCAACUUGCCCGUAUCCGGGACAUAACCGGCGGAAACGCCGACUAAUUUCCCAUAACAGCGGGGGCCGCAUGGCCCCCGUUUGAAAGACACGUCGGAUGCGGAUGGGCUCGCGGGACAUUAGCUGGUUGGAGUGGUAACGGCACACCAAGGCUACGAUGUCUAGGGGUUCUGAGAGGAAGGUCCCCCACACUGGAACUGAGACACGGUCCAGACUCCUACGGGAGGCAGCAGUGAGGAAUAUUGGUCAAUGGGCGGAAGCCUGAACCAGCCAUGCCGCGUGAAGGAAUGAGGCCCUACGGGUCGUGAACUUCUUUUGUGGCGGAGCAAUAAGGGCCACGUGUGGUCCGACGAGAGUACGUCACGAAUAAGCACCGGCUAACUCCGUGCCAGCAGCCGCGGUAAUACGGAGGGUGCAAGCGUUAUCCGGAUUUAUUGGGUUUAAAGGGUGCGUAGGCUGUCCGACAAGUCAGGGGUGAAAGCCCGGCGCCCAACGCCGGAACCGCCCUUGAUACUGCCGGGCUGGAAUGCGGAUGCCGUGGGAGGAAUGAGUAGUGUAGCGGUGAAAUGCAUAGAUAUUACUCAGAACACCGAUUGCGAAGGCAUCUCACGAAUCCGCCAUUGACGCUGAGGCACGAAAGCGUGGGUAGCGAACAGGAUUAGAUACCCUGGUAGUCCACGCCGUAAACGAUGAGUAC
This 816-nucleotide ribosomal RNA is filed under the name uncultured bacterium. RNAcentral describes it as "bacterial SSU rRNA". It matches the Rfam family "Bacterial small subunit ribosomal RNA", at positions 1 to 816 of the family's 1533-position model. The record is from RNAcentral.